GAUGAACGCUGGCGGCGUGCCUAAUACAUGCAAGUCGAGCGAACAGACGAGGAGCUUGCUCCUCUGACGUUAGCGGCGGACGGGUGAGUAACACGUGGAUAACCUACCUAUAAGACUGGGAUAACUUCGGGAAACCGGAGAUAAUACCGGAUAAUAUAUUGAAGCGCAUGGUUCAAUAGUGAAACACGGUUUUGCUGUCACUUAUCGUUUGAUCCGGGCCGUAGUGGCGUGUUGGUAAGGUAACGGCUUACCAAGGCGACGAUGGGUUGCCGACCUGGGCGGGGGAAGGCCGACACUGGGGGUGGAACGCCGUCCAGACUCCUAGGGGAGGCACCGGUUGGGAAUGUUCGCAGAUGGGCGGAAGACUGCCGGAGCGACGCCGGGCGGAUGAUGAAGGGCUUCGGGUCGUAAGACUCUGUUAUUGGGGAAGAACAAAUGUGUAAGUAACUAUGCACGUCUUGACGGUACCUAGACAGAAAGCCACGGCUAACUACGUG
RNAcentral lists this ribosomal RNA (497 nucleotides) under uncultured bacterium. RNAcentral's name for it is "partial 16S ribosomal RNA". It matches the Rfam family "Bacterial small subunit ribosomal RNA", at positions 28 to 507 of the family's 1533-position model. The record is from RNAcentral.